GGAUAACUCAGUGGGUUAGAGCAUGGUGCUGAUAACGCCAAGGUUGCAGGUUUGAUCCCCGCAUGAGACA
Non-coding RNA from Podarcis lilfordi (Lilford's wall lizard), 70 nucleotides. NCBI's taxonomy places the organism in Eukaryota, Metazoa, Chordata, Lepidosauria, Squamata, Lacertidae. The record is from the annotation of a GenBank genome assembly.